AACGAACGCUGGCGGCGUGGCUAAGGCAUGCAAGUCGUACGGGACUUCGAAUGUAGUAAUACGUUCGGGGUUCAGUGGCGGACGGGUGAGUAAUGCAUGGGUAACGUGCCUUUCACGUCAGGGAUAACGGUCGGGCCCGCAAGGGCCCUUUGCGAAAGUGACGGUAAUACCUGACGACAUCGCGGAUUGGCAUCUUUCUGCGAUCAAAGGUGGGGACCGUAAGGCCUACCGGUGAUUGAGCGGCCCAUGUCCUAUCAGCUAGUUGGUGAGGUAAUGGCUCACCAAGGCUUUGACGGGUAGCCGGCGUGAGAGCGCGACCGGCC
This 323-nucleotide ribosomal RNA is filed under the name uncultured bacterium. RNAcentral describes it as "bacterial SSU rRNA". It matches the Rfam family "Bacterial small subunit ribosomal RNA", at positions 29 to 309 of the family's 1533-position model. The record is from RNAcentral.